Molecule: ribosomal RNA, 492 nt
Filed under: uncultured bacterium
Lineage: Bacteria
Description: bacterial SSU rRNA
Rfam family: Bacterial small subunit ribosomal RNA
Source: RNAcentral
AAAGGAAUUGACGGGGGCCCGCACAAGCGGAGGAGCAUGUGGUUUAAUUCGAUGAUACGCGAGGAACCUUACCCGGGCUUGAAUUGCAGUGGAAUAAUUAGGAAACUAAUUAGUCUUCGGACCACUGUGAAGGUGCUGCAUGGUUGUCGUCAGCUCGUGCCGUGAGGUGUUAGGUUAAGUCCUGCAACGAGCGCAACCCUUACACUUAGUUGCCAGCACGUAAUGGUGGGGACUCUAUGUGAACUGCCUACGCAAGUAGAGAGGAAGGUGGGGAUGACGUCAAAUCAGCACGGCCCUUAUGUUCGGGGCUACACACGUGCUACAAUGGUCGGUACAGAAGGCAGCUACCCCGCGAGGGGAUGCAAAUCUGUAAAGCCGAUCUCAGUUCGGAUCGGAGUCUGUAACUCGACUCCGUGAAGUUGGAUUCGCUAGUAAUCGCGCAUCAGCCAUGGCGCGGUGAAUACGUUCCCGGGCCUUGUACACACCGCCCGU